AACCUUUCCUGGGAUUGUUGUGCCUGCUUGUCCUCAUCGAAUUGGAGAACUUUUUGGUACGCCCCUUCCUCUCUUCUUUUCGAAAAUACUCUGCUCAGGGAGUGAGUAAUCUUAGAUCGGGUCGUGCCCCCCCUUCCAUCACCCUCGGGGGAGGAAUCAUUCCAUUCAGCAGUCCUACGUGGGUCAGUUAAUGUCUUUUAUGAAAGGAUUAGACGGUGACAACUAGUGCUGUGAACAAUCCCUAUCAUCAAAUCUCUGAGCUCAGGAAGUCAGGUUAAGACGUCGACUUAUACAGGGUCUUGCCCGAGGAGAUGAAAAAGAAUUCCUGUCUUUAGAAGUCAAUCCCACUAAACUACACUUGUACGCUUGACAUGAAAAGUAGAGGCAAGCGGAGUCAAAGGCCUCAACAGGAUAGAGGCUGCUCCUGGAAGCGGAAGAAUAAGUCCAGUAUUGAACGGCAGGACUUGAAGGAAGCAGACCGGACACUCUCGCCUCACAUGCUAAUCUUCCGGUCCGCUG
This 519-nucleotide long non-coding RNA is filed under the name Phaseolus vulgaris (common bean). RNAcentral describes it as "long non-coding RNA (PVUL_LNC002919)". The record is from RNAcentral. Lineage: Eukaryota; Viridiplantae; Streptophyta; Magnoliopsida; Fabales; Fabaceae.